UGUAUCUUUUAGUAUGUGGACAAUCACUUAUAGACAGGUUCAACAUAACCUCUUGAAACCCAGAACUCAUUGUUCAGUAUGAGUCUUGAUACAUGUAAGAAGGGACU
RNAcentral lists this small nucleolar RNA (107 nucleotides) under Aotus nancymaae (Ma's night monkey). RNAcentral's name for it is "Small nucleolar RNA SNORA40 (ENSANAG00000001186.1)". It matches the Rfam family "Small nucleolar RNA SNORA40". Rfam says of the family: The snoRNA ACA 40 belongs to the H/ACA family of snoRNAs and guides the pseudouridylation of 28S rRNA subunit at position U4565. Lineage: Eukaryota; Metazoa; Chordata; Mammalia; Primates; Aotidae. The record is from RNAcentral.